Molecule: long non-coding RNA, 355 nt
Filed under: Homo sapiens (human)
Lineage: Eukaryota; Metazoa; Chordata; Mammalia; Primates; Hominidae
Description: HSALNT0395110
Source: RNAcentral
UUAUCUCCCUGGCAUCCAACCAAACAGACUUCAAAACCAGAGAGAGAAUAACUUCUAAAUUAUGCAGCUCUUCCUCCGCCACCUGGAUGCAACAACAAAAACAGAUGAGCUCAAACCUGAGAAAACCUGGAAUCUGCCCAAAUCAAGCCGUUUAUAGCUUCGAGGUAUUAAACAGCCACUAGGACAGUUGAUGAAUUUGAUGGAGUCAGUGGCAUUUCACAAGCCUUCACAGAAAAUCUAAACCAUGGGACCACUUUGAUUAGGGGUUGAGUGUAUUUCCUAAUCCCGCCCAUUUCCCCGACAAAUGAAUCUUCCUCCAUGUCAGCAAAUAAAGGCCGCUCUUCCUUCCAGGAAC